RNAcentral lists this ribosomal RNA (1310 nucleotides) under uncultured bacterium. RNAcentral's name for it is "bacterial SSU rRNA". It matches the Rfam family "Bacterial small subunit ribosomal RNA", at positions 28 to 1381 of the family's 1533-position model. The record is from RNAcentral.
AACGAAACGCUGGCGGCAGGCCUAACACAUGCAAGUUCGAGCGUUCACCUUCGGGCGGAGCGGCGGAACGGGUUAGUAACGCGCGGGAAUAUACCCAGUUUCUCAAGGAAUAGCCACCGGAAAACGGCGAGUAAAUACCUUAUCACGCCCUUCGGGGGAAAGAAUUCAUUCGGAAUUGGACUAGCCCGCGUCUAGAUUAGAUAGUUGGUGGGGUAAAUGGCCUACCAAGUCCUACGAUCUAUAGCUCGGUUUCGAGAGGAUCGAUCAGCAACACUGGGACUGAGACACGGCCCAGAACUCCUACGGGAGGCAGCAGUGGGGAAAUCUUUAGACAAUGGGCGCAAGCCUGAUCUAGCCAUGCCGCGUGAGUCGAUGAAGGCCCUAGGGUCGUAAAGCUCUUUUCAACUGUGAAGAUAAUGACGGUAGCAGUAGAAGAAACCCCGGCUAACUCCGUGCCAGCAGCCGCGGUAAUACGGAGGGGGUUAGCGUUGUUCGGAAUUUACUGGGCGUAAAGCGUACGUAGGCGGAUUAAUAAGUUAGAGGUGAAAUCCCAGGGCUCAACCCUGGAACUGCCUUUAAAACUGUUAGUCUUGAGAUUCGAGAGAGGUGAGUGGAAUUCCAAGUGUAGAGGUGAAAUUCGUAGAUAUUUGGAGGAACACCAGUGGCGAAGGCGGCUCACUGGCUCGAUACUGACGCUGAGGUACGAAAGUGUGGGGAGCAAACAGGAUUAGAUACCCUGGUAGUCCACACCGUAAACGAUGAAUGCCAGACGUCAGCAAGCAUGCUUGUUGGUGUCACACCUAACGGAUUAAGCAUUCCGCCUGGGGAGUACGGUCGCAAGAUUAAAACUCAAAGGAAUUGACGGGGGCCCGCACAAGCGGUGGAGCAUGUGGUUUAAUUCGACGCAACGCGCAGAACCUUACCAACCCUUGACAUACUUGUCGCGGAUUCCAGAGAUGGAUUCCUUCAGUUCGGCUGGACAAUGUACAGGUGCUGCAUGGCUGUCGUCAGCUCGUGUCGUGAGAUGUUCGGUUAAGUCCGGCAACGAGCGCAACCCACGUCCUUAGUUACCAGCAUUUAGUUGGGUACCCUAAGGAGACUGCCGGUGAUAAGCCGGAGGAAGGUGUGGACGACGUCAAGUCAUCAUGGCCCUUACGGGUUGGGCUACACACGUGCUACAAUGGCAUCUACAGUGAGUUAAUCUCCAAAAGAUGUCUCAGUUCGGAUUGGGGUCUGCAACUCGACCCCAUGAAGUUGGAAUCGCUAGUAAUCGCGGAACAGCAUGCCGCGGUGAAUACGUUCCCGGGCCU